This is an RNA transcript of Sorghum bicolor (sorghum), 3651 nucleotides long. It is a transcript of the gene named transcription factor TFIIIB component B'', with no coding region annotated. The transcript has 14 exons. NCBI's taxonomy places the organism in Eukaryota, Viridiplantae, Streptophyta, Magnoliopsida, Poales, Poaceae. The record is from RefSeq and is a predicted model, not a curated record.
CUGCCCGCCCCCACCCACCCUCGAGCGGCGCGUCUCCCACCGUCGCUCGGUUUCCCACCGGCACAGCCCGGCUUUGCCUCCGCCACUCCGCUUCCCGCCGCGGCGCCGUCCGACGCCGCCGACUCCGUCUGCUCCCUUGCCUCCGCUCGUUCCCAUCUUACGCCGCCGACUCCGUCUGCUCCCUUGCCUCCGCUCGUUCCCAUCUUACGCCGCCGUAGCUACUGUGAGCAGGGAUACAGAAGAGAGGGAGAGAUCAUCCUUUCCUUCCAGAAGAAGACGCGGUUGGCUGAUUGAUUAAUUCCGUCCUUCCUUCCUUAUUAGGAGCACCCGCAGUCGUGGUCCACCCAUAGGAGGGAAGGACGCGCCGCCUCCACGGCCUGCUUCGUGGCCGCCCUCCGCCGCCGUUGCGCACGUUGAGCCGGAGGUCGGAGAUCUGCCUCGUUGAGCCAGAGCCGGAGGUCCGAGGCUUUCAGUGACACUUUCAAUAUAUCCUGCUGUAGACCACAACGGCCACACAGAUGAUUGAUGAUGAGGCCAACUUCGACAAUAUGCUUGAUGCUGCAGAAGAAGUUCAGGCUACUGCAAAGUUCCGUCCCAAGCAACGUCCCAAACCCCAAAAAACAGCUCUGUCUUCCAGAUCUGCAGCGCCUAAUCCUACUGAAGAAACUGGGGAUGGGAAAGUAGGAGCCUUAAAUCAAGUCAAUUCUUCUAAAGAGCUCACCAGCCAAGAAAGGACAUCCUUGAUGUGCCCUGGUAGCGAGUCAGUUGAUACUGUUGCUGGUUCUCAAGGUACUCUCGGCACACCGUCGGGAGAUGCGUUGACAGUUCCCUUGGGUCCUCUGGCUGGUGCUUCUGCUGCAGAUAAGAUUUCUCAAGAUGGUGAGCACAAUGAUGAUCCGUCUAAGUUAGCUAUACACCAAGAAAGCUCAGUGGUAUCAGAUAUCAAUGUGUCACCUAACAGUUCAUGUGGCAAGGCUAUUGAUGAUAUAGUUGAAUUUGGAGACAUGUGUGAUGCACAAGUUGAAGAGGAAAGAGUUCCAAAGUUCCAGCCAAAGGUACAGACGAAGCUCCUUAAGGAAACAGCCAAAUCUCGGAAGACUAACCAAAAGCUGGAAGCUUCCACUGUAGAUGUGGUUACACAAAAUGGAAAGGGCAAUAAUAUUGAAACAAGAUUCCGUGACGAUCAGUUACAGGAUCCUAAAAGUCAUGAAAGUGUGCAGAUCCCAGAUUCUGAAGGACUAUUGGCAACUGAUAAUUGUAAAAGUUGCAAUUUAGCUAACCUCGUCCUUGAGGAGUCAGUUCAAGAGGAAACAAUAGCUAAGUUUCAUCCUAAAUUGCAACCGGAGCCUGGGAAGGCUUCAUCCAAGGUUGCUGUGACUAAAAAUAAUGUUGCUGCUGUUGCUCCAAUGGAAGAAACCAUCACCGGUCCAGCCGCUUGGUCACCACAGGCUGUGCAUGCUACUGUUGAUGUAGACUAUCACAACGAACUAAUUAGUCCUCCUACCGAUGGUACUCAAUCAAUGGUGGGCAAAGUCCCAGGAAGAGAAAAGGGAAAAUCAAAAUCUGUAUCUUUUUCUCUAUCGGAUGCUUCUGGGGUAGCUACUCCUACAGAUACCAAUUCUGAGAUGGGUAACAUCGGCAAAUCCUGUAGUGACAAAUUGACUGAUGAAAAUUUAAGUAACUCAUCUCAGCAGAUGACUGAAAAGCAUUCUGUUACCGAGGAUCAAUAUUCAAAUGAUCAGGACCACGAGGGGGAGCCACUAGAUCAUACUGUUGAACAGCAACCAAAUUCGGAUGUUGGAGAAAUAGCAUCAUCUAUGAAACUACGUUGCAGGAAAAAGUUGCAAAAAGUUGGGACACCUAAUCACACUGUUGAUGACUGUUUUGAUGAAGACUGUGUUGAACCUUCAUUAGCUGAAGAAGAUAAUGAUAGUGGUGAUGAUUACACUACUGGUAAUAAGCGUAAGGCUAGGAAAAAGUCAAGGGAUGGUGUAGAAGAGUCACAACAGCAGAAAGUUCAAAAAAAUAAAAGCAAGGUGUCUUCACGGGGCCGCAAAAGAACCUUGAAGGAUGAAUUGGCAGCGAAGCCUGAGAAGAAGAAGCUGACCCACAGAAUUCGUCAGAGGACACCAAAAGAGAUUAAGACUUUACUGGAAAGUGAGGAGAUAGAUCCCAUGAAGCUAAGUGCAGCACAUCUCAGGUUGUUACAAGAAGCUAGAGAACGUGUUAAUCCAAAAGAGAUUCCAUCUGGGCCAUCCUCUAAUUCAAGAAGCUUUGGACUUGAAGAUAUGGAUGAUUUGGACUACAGAGAUGAGGAAGCUAGGUUCUUUGACAAUGAUGGAACAGAGAACCAUGUACAAAAUACAACAAAAUUGAACUACCAAUCCUACAUGAACAAACCAGCCCGAGGAAAAUGGUCAAAAUCAGAUACUGACUUGUUUUACGAGGGUAUUCGACAAUUUGGUAGCGAUUUUGCAAUGAUACAACAAUUAUUUCCUGAUAAGACUCGCCAUCAGGUGCGGCAAAAAUUUAAAUCUGAGGAGAAAAAAAAUCCAUUGCUAGUCCAUGAUGCUAUAUUUCAUCGCUCAGGAGAUAAUUUGUAUUUCAAAAAGGUAAUUAAGCAGCUCAACAUUGAAGAUGUUGUGCUGCCAGAGAUCAACAAUGCACAAAAACAAGAUGGCGCAUCAAGUGAAAGAGGCCCUGGAAAUGAGAAUGUACUGGAUGAUUUCAACGAGGAGGAAAAUAGUUCAAAUUGGUCGAAUGAAGAGCACGGCGGACAGAUGGAUGAUGUGCAAGAAGAGCAUGAUCUUGGAAAUGGUGGUGAUGAUGAUGAUCUUGGGGAUGUUUUUGAUUGGUACUAGUUAAUCAUGGCUGGAAUUAGGACUCAUGAUACUACAAUUAUGAUUCUGCUAAUGUCUUGAGGUACAUUGGUGGCUGGUCAUGUUAUUUUGAUUAGAUCCUAGCGAGACUUUGUCAUGGGUUCUAGUCAUUAUCAUGUGUACAUGGGUUGCCUCAGAAGUAAAUGGAUGCAUAAAUGGGCUCUGUGCAAUCAUUAUACCCCCAAAGAGGAACACAAUGUGCACACACUGCCGUCUAGCGGCCUAGGGCUGUCUUGCAAUCCUUAAUUUUUAAGCAGUGCUAAUAGUCAGAUGGAAGGGGACCCAUUUUUACAGACGGAAAUCUGUGUAAUGGACAGCGUUCAAUUGGAUCAGCACAUUCUUGGUGAUUAUGUCAGUACCAUGGUUGGGACAUACGUAUGUGUUCUGGAUGCUAAGUUUUGCAAGCCGAUGGGAAGUGCGUGCAAGAGUAGUUGAUAUCAUCUGACGCUGUCAUGUUAGAUACGUCAUAUUUCUUUUUGUACUUACUUUUUUUUAUUACUUGCCACACAAAUGUACUAGUGCCCACACAAAUGUACUAGUGCUGAUGGAUGUGAUACGUCAUAUUUCUCUUUAGCAACUUCGAUUAUUUUUUUAAAGAGAUUUAUAGCAACUUCGGUUUCCUUCUCCAGUUGUAUACUGAUGAUGCUCUGUGACUUCGAUAUUGGUUUCUUUUGAUAGGCAGUAUCGGUUUCUGUAAAACCUUGUUAGGCAUCAACACAGUGACUUCCCUACCUUUACAUAACAGAACAAAUCUGUAAAUUGAGCUUUGGCA